RNAcentral lists this ribosomal RNA (2881 nucleotides) under Burkholderia multivorans. Its description in RNAcentral is "23S ribosomal RNA". It matches the Rfam family "Bacterial large subunit ribosomal RNA". Lineage: Bacteria; Pseudomonadati; Pseudomonadota; Betaproteobacteria; Burkholderiales; Burkholderiaceae. The record is from RNAcentral.
GGUCAAGCGAACAAGUGCAUGUGGUGGAUGCCUUGGCGAUCACAGGCGAUGAAGGACGCGGUAGUCUGCGAAAAGCCCCGGGGAGCUGGCAAACAAGCUUUGAUCCGGGGAUGUCCGAAUGGGGAAACCCACUCCGUAUGGAGUAUCCAUGACUGAAUACAUAGGUCAUGUGAAGCGAACGCGGUGAACUGAAACAUCUAAGUAACCGCAGGAAAAGAAAUCAACCGAGAUUCCCAAAGUAGUGGCGAGCGAAAUGGGAUGAGCCUUGUACUCUUUAUUCGUAUUGUUAGCCGAACGCUCUGGAAAGUGCGGCCAUAGCAGGUGAUAGCCCUGUAGGCGAAAACAGUAUGAAAGAACUAGGUGUACGACAAGUAGGGCGGGACACGUGAAAUCCUGUCUGAAGAUGGGGGGACCAUCCUCCAAGGCUAAAUACUCGUGAUCGACCGAUAGUGAACCAGUACCGUGAGGGAAAGGCGAAAAGAACCCCGGGAGGGGAGUGAAAUAGAUCCUGAAACCGCAUGCAUACAAACAGUCGGAGCCUCGUAAGGGGUGACGGCGUACCUUUUGUAUAAUGGGUCAGCGACUUACGUUCAGUAGCAAGCUUAACCGUAUAGGGCAGGCGUAGCGAAAGCGAGUCCGAAUAGGGCGUUCAGUUGCUGGGCGUAGACCCGAAACCAGGUGAUCUAUCCAUGGCCAGGAUGAAGGUGCGGUAACACGUACUGGAGGUCCGAACCCACUAACGUUGAAAAGUUAGGGGAUGAGCUGUGGAUAGGGGUGAAAGGCUAAACAAACCUGGAAAUAGCUGGUUCUCUCCGAAAACUAUUUAGGUAGUGCCUCGUGUCUCACCUUCGGGGGUAGAGCACUGUCAUGGUUGGGGGGUCUAUUGCAGAUUACCCCGCCAUAGCAAACUCCGAAUACCGAAGAGUGCAAUCACGGGAGACAGACAUCGGGUGCUAACGUCCGGUGUCAAGAGGGAAACAACCCAGACCGCCAGCUAAGGUCCCCAAAUAUGGCUAAGUGGGAAACGAAGUGGGAAGGCUAAAACAGUCAGGAGGUUGGCUUAGAAGCAGCCACCCUUUAAAGAAAGCGUAAUAGCUCACUGAUCGAGUCGUCCUGCGCGGAAGAUGUAACGGGGCUAAGCCAUAUACCGAAGCUGCGGAUGCGUGCUUGCACGCAUGGUAGGAGAGCGUUCCGUAAGCCUGCGAAGGUGCCUUGUAAAGGGUGCUGGAGGUAUCGGAAGUGCGAAUGCUGACAUGAGUAGCGAUAAAGGGGGUGAAAGGCCCCCUCGCCGUAAGCCCAAGGUUUCCUACGCAACGUUCAUCGGCGUAGGGUGAGUCGGCCCCUAAGGCGAGGCAGAAAUGCGUAGCUGAUGGGAAGCAGGUCAAUAUUCCUGCACCAUUGUUAGAUGCGAUGGGGGGACGGAUCGCGGAAGGUUGUCCGGGUGUUGGACGUCCCGGUCGCUGCAUUGGAGAAGGCGCUUAGGCAAAUCCGGGCGCAGGAUUCAAGGGUGUGGCGCGAGCUCCUUAGGGAGCGAAGCAAUUGGAAGUGGUUCCAAGAAAAGCCUCUAAGCUUCAGUCUAACGAUGACCGUACCGCAAACCGACACAGGUGGGCGAGAUGAGUAUUCUAAGGCGCUUGAGAGAACUCGGGAGAAGGAACUCGGCAAAUUGGUACCGUAACUUCGGGAUAAGGUACGCCCUUGUAGCUUGACCAGCCUGCGCUGGAAGGGUGAAGGGGUUGCAAUAAACUGGUGGCUGCGACUGUUUAAUAAAAACACAGCACUCUGCAAACACGAAAGUGGACGUAUAGGGUGUGACGCCUGCCCGGUGCCGGAAGAUUAAAUGAUGGGGUGCAAGCUCUUGAUUGAAGUCCCGGUAAACGGCGGCCGUAACUAUAACGGUCCUAAGGUAGCGAAAUUCCUUGUCGGGUAAGUUCCGACCUGCACGAAUGGCGUAACGAUGGCCACACUGUCUCCUCCCGAGACUCAGCGAAGUUGAAGUGUUUGUGAUGAUGCAAUCUACCCGCGGCUAGACGGAAAGACCCCAUGAACCUUUACUGUAGCUUUGCAUUGGACUUUGAACCGAUCUGUGUAGGAUAGGUGGGAGGCUAUGAAACCGGAACGCUAGUUUCGGUGGAGCCGUCCUUGAAAUACCACCCUGGUUUGUUUGAGGUUCUAACCUUGGUCCGUGAUCCGGAUCGGGGACAGUGCAUGGUAGGCAGUUUGACUGGGGCGGUCUCCUCCCAAAGGGUAACGGAGGAGUACGAAGGUACGCUAGGUACGGUCGGAAAUCGUGCUGAUAGUGCAAUGGCAUAAGCGUGCUUAACUGCGAGACCGACAAGUCGAGCAGGUGCGAAAGCAGGUCAUAGUGAUCCGGUGGUUCUGUAUGGAAGGGCCAUCGCUCAACGGAUAAAAGGUACUCUGGGGAUAACAGGCUGAUACCGCCCAAGAGUUCAUAUCGACGGCGGUGUUUGGCACCUCGAUGUCGGCUCAUCUCAUCCUGGGGCUGUAGCCGGUCCCAAGGGUAUGGCUGUUCGCCAUUUAAAGAGGUACGUGAGCUGGGUUUAAAACGUCGUGAGACAGUUUGGUCCCUAUCUGCCGUGGGCGUUGGAUAUUUGAAGGGGGCUGCUCCUAGUACGAGAGGACCGGAGUGGACGAACCUCUGGUGUACCGGUUGUGACGCCAGUCGCAUCGCCGGGUAGCUAUGUUCGGAAGAGAUAACCGCUGAAAGCAUCUAAGCGGGAAACUCGCCUUAAGAUGAGAUAUCCCUGGAGGCUUGACCUCCUUGAAGGGUCGUUCGAGACCAGGACGUUGAUAGGUCGGGUGUGUAAGCGCAGUAAUGCGUUCAGCUAACCGAUACUAAUUGCCCGUAAGGCUUGAUCCU